RNAcentral lists this ribosomal RNA (468 nucleotides) under uncultured bacterium. Its description in RNAcentral is "partial 16S ribosomal RNA". It matches the Rfam family "Bacterial small subunit ribosomal RNA", at positions 28 to 507 of the family's 1533-position model. The record is from RNAcentral.
GACGAGCGCUGGCGGCGUGCUUAACACAUGCAAGUCGAACGGAAAGGCCCUGCUUUUGUGGGGUGCUCGAGUGGCGAACGGGUGAGUAACACGUGAGUAACCUGCCCUUGACUUUGGGAUAACUUCAGGAAACUGGGGCUAAUACCGGAUAGGAGCUCCUGCUGCAUGGUGGGGGUUGGAAAGUUUCGGCGGUUGGGGAUGGACUCGCGGCUUAUCAGCUUGUUGGUGGGGUAGUGGCUUACCAAGGCUUUGACGGGUAGCCGGCCUGAGAGGGUGACCGGCUACAUUGGGACUGAGAUACGGCCCAGACUCCUACGGGAGGCAGCAGUGGGGAAUAUUGCACAAUGGGCGGAAGCCUGAUGCAGCAACGCCGCGUGCGGGAUGACGGCCUUCGGGUUGUAAACCGCUUUCGCCUGUGACGAAGCGUGAGUGACGGUAAUGGGUAAAGAAGCACCGGCUAACUACGUG